GAAGGAAAAUUAAAAUUGAGUGGAAGUACGUAGGAGGGCGGAGCCAGGCUAGGUUGCAACAGCAGUUGAUAAAU
Long non-coding RNA from Sander lucioperca (pikeperch), 74 nucleotides. RefSeq lists it as uncharacterized. The transcript is spliced from 3 exons. Lineage: Eukaryota; Metazoa; Chordata; Actinopteri; Perciformes; Percidae. The record is from RefSeq and is a predicted model, not a curated record.